GAGAUGUCCAAGUCCUGACAUUUUUCUUCCCUUCUCCAAACAAGUGGGUCCCCCCAGAAAGAAAGUGUCUUUGCCUCAUUGGCUCUCCAUGAUAUCAUCAACACUUGCUUUCCUUGCAGCGGCGUGGCAUGGUGGCCCAGGAGCACCGUCUCCACAGGAACUGCCUGGCUCCAGGGUCCCUUGUAGGGGAAGCUGUGGGAAGAGGUCAGGGUUGUGGAGAUGUGUUUGCAUCUGAGCUGAGGUGUCGGGACGAGGACACUCGGACAGUGUGCUGUGUGGCAGGAGGAGGCUUGGAAGAAGACGAAAGGACACACCAGAAAAGAGUCCCUUAGAGACGGAGCCACAGAGCAGCGCUGAGAGGAAGCCCACAGCUUUGACCCAAGGAGCGAACCACCUAUGGCUGCAGCUGUUCCUAGGAGAUCCUUAUUUGUGCACGGCGUUCGAGACCUUCAGGUGCUUUUGGCCUGCUCCUCUGAGGACUAAUCAUGGACAGGAGGGGAGGGUGUGCCACGAUGGAUAGGAUAGGUGGCUAAGGGUCAAUGGGCCUUUCCGUUCCAGAUG
Molecule: long non-coding RNA, 561 nt
Filed under: Ursus maritimus (polar bear)
Lineage: Eukaryota; Metazoa; Chordata; Mammalia; Carnivora; Ursidae
Description: lncRNA (ENSUMAG00000003175.1)
Source: RNAcentral